This is a long non-coding RNA of Betta splendens (Siamese fighting fish), 828 nucleotides long. RefSeq lists it as uncharacterized. The transcript has 4 exons. The record is from RefSeq and is a predicted model, not a curated record. Lineage: Eukaryota; Metazoa; Chordata; Actinopteri; Anabantiformes; Osphronemidae.
UGGGGCUCAUUUCGUUAAGUGAAAACACCUGUUUACCCGCACGCAGCCGCCGGUGCUGCUGUUGCUUCACUGCUGUCUGUACCUGAGCCGCGGCGAGGAACGCGCCGGGCUGGAACCACGCAGAUUCCAUGGAUCUUUCAGGGAGCAGCUCAAAGCUCCACUGCUCGGCCGUGGGACGUCCUACUUGUUUGAGAGGAUUCCAGAUGUGCAUCAAACAUCCUGUUGAUUUAUCGACACUUGUGCCGCGUCUCGGACUAAAGGAAGGGAAACUCACGGGUGCAUCUGUUGUUGCCUUCUGGGUUCCUCAUGCCGAAGUAUCCCACGGGACAGGACGCGAGGCACACGCCUAUCUGACGGAUGUCAUUGCGCUCCAGUUUUAUCUUUGCAUGACACUGAAUUCACUCAGAGAGAGAACACAGGACGCCGCGGGGAGGAAAACGAGACGCUCACCCUCUGUCAUCGGCGCUGCUGCUGCCAGAGGAGUUGCUCAAAGGAACAAAGUCGGAUAUUAAAGAACAGCAAGCCUCCGUGUCUGGAGGGAGAAGUCCUCAAGUGACCUGACAUAGUAGGGAUGUCGGACGAUCGCUGACCCCAAUGCUGUUGUCCUCACUCUGCUGGUCCUGUGUGUGUGUGUGUGUGUGUGUGUGUGUGUGUGUGUGUGUGUGUGUGUGUGUGUGUGUGUGUGUGUGUGUGUGUGUGUGUGUGUGUGUGUGUGUGUGUGUGUGUGUGUGUGUAGGUAUGCUGUGAUAUUAUCCGACGUCUGUGGUUCAAACAACACUUUCUAUCCCAGUAUUGUGUGAUUUUAUUAAAACCACAUCUGUUACUGCA